Molecule: ribosomal RNA, 520 nt
Filed under: uncultured bacterium
Lineage: Bacteria
Description: bacterial SSU rRNA
Rfam family: Bacterial small subunit ribosomal RNA
Source: RNAcentral
AAUAGAUACCCGGGUAGUCCACGCCGUAAACGAUGAGUGCUAAGUGUUAGAGGGUUUCCGUCCUUUAGUGCUGAAGUUAACGCAUUAAGCACUCCGCCUGGGGAGUACGGCCGCAAGGCUGAAACUCAAAGGAAUUGACGGGGGCCCGCACAAGCGGUGGAGCAUGUGGUUUAAUUCGAAGCAACGCGAAGAACCUUACCAGGUCUUGACAUCCUCUGACAACCCUAGAGAUAGGGCUUCUCCUUCGGGAGCAGAGUGACAGGUGGUGCAUGGUUGUCGUCAGCUCGUGUCGUGAGAUGUUGGGUUAAGUCCCGCAACGAGCGCAACCCUUGAUCUUAGUUGCCAUCAUUCAGUUGGGCACUCUAAGGUGACUGCCGGUGACAAACCGGAGGAAGGUGGGGAUGACGUCAAAUCAUCAUGCCCCUUAUGACCUGGGCUACACACGUGCUACAAUGGACGGUACAAAGAGCUGCAAGACCGCGAGGUGGAGCUAAUCUCAUAAAACCGUUCUCAGUUCGGA